ACCGUGCUUUGAUACCAACUGUCACGACGUUUCCUCAAGUCAUCAAGCAUCGUGCCGGUCCGCUGCAGCAGAGUCAUCCUUCCCUUUACACUUAGCCACUUGACCCCGGCCAUUUGAAAGAGCACACACACAUCAAAGGCAACCCACCAUCCGUGACCAGUAGGAUUACUUUAUUCAAUCAAGAAAGGCUGUCUUUCGGUCGUCUACGUUAACUGAUAGCUGCUUGUUUUGUUCUAUUACCUAAGGCCUUCUUCAUUCGCUUGGAAUAGCAUCCGGAUCUGUGACAAAGAGAAUGACGGCUAAACCUCCUUGAUUCCUUGAAGAAGGUAUCAGUCUAUC
This 339-nucleotide long non-coding RNA is filed under the name Linum usitatissimum (flax). Its description in RNAcentral is "long non-coding RNA (LUSI_LNC004978)". Lineage: Eukaryota; Viridiplantae; Streptophyta; Magnoliopsida; Malpighiales; Linaceae. The record is from RNAcentral.